AUUGAACGCUGGCGGCAGGCUUAACACAUGCAAGUCGAGCGAUCGGCGGACGGGUGAGUAAUGUCUGGGAAACUUCCUGAUGGUGGGGGAUAACUACUGGAAACGGUAGCUAAUACCGCAUACCAUCAGAUGUGCCCAGAUGGGAUUAGCUAGUAGGUGGGGUAAUGGCUCACCUAGGCGACGAUCCCUAGCGGGUCUGAGAGGAUGACCAGACAACUUGGAACUGAGACACGGACCAGACGCGUACGGGAGGAAGAAGUGGGAAAUAUUGCAAAAUGGGCGCAAGCCUGAUGCAGCCAUGCCGCGUGUAUGAAGAAGGCCUUCGGGUUGUAAAGUACUUUCAGCGGGGAGGCGUUACCCGAAGAAAAAGCACCGGCUAACUCCGUGCCAGCAGCCGCGGUAAUUC
This 406-nucleotide ribosomal RNA is filed under the name uncultured bacterium. Its description in RNAcentral is "partial 16S ribosomal RNA". It matches the Rfam family "Bacterial small subunit ribosomal RNA", at positions 30 to 526 of the family's 1533-position model. The record is from RNAcentral.